Molecule: ribosomal RNA, 253 nt
Filed under: uncultured bacterium
Lineage: Bacteria
Description: partial 16S ribosomal RNA
Rfam family: Bacterial small subunit ribosomal RNA
Source: RNAcentral
UACGUAGGCAGCAAGCGUUGUUCGGAGUUACUGGGCGUAAAGGGUGUGUAGGCGGUUCUCUAAGUCUGGUGUGAAAUCUCCCGGCUCAACUGGGAGGGUGCGCCGAAAACUGGAGGGCUAGAGUGCGGGAUGGGAGAGUGGAAUUCCUGGUGUAGCGGUGAAAUGCGUAGAUAUCAGGAAGAACACCCGUGGCGAAGGCGGCUCUCUGGGACGGUACUGACGCUGAGACGCGAAAGCGUGGGGAGCGAACAGG